This 1951-nucleotide long non-coding RNA is filed under the name Anser cygnoides (Swan goose). RNAcentral's name for it is "lncRNA (ENSACDG00005005203.1)". The record is from RNAcentral. Lineage: Eukaryota; Metazoa; Chordata; Aves; Anseriformes; Anatidae.
AUGGUCUGCAUCCAACUCAGAGACGGUGGUUCUACUCUACAGUUCUACAGCCUGGCAUUUAUUGCUCCAAGUAUCAUAAACAAGGAAUCUGCGGCAACCAGCAAUGUCUACCAGGUGCCUAAAUUCAGAAAAGAUGAAGACCAUCCAGUAUUGGCGGUAAUGGAUAUCCAGCCAGACUACAGUACCGUCUGUACAGGUCGAAGUAAUGCGUUCAUCAUCACAGACCAUCCUGGUCAUGGACCUUGCUGCAAGGGCAGGCAGGGGGAAAACAAUGAAAAUAACCAACCAACCAAAAACAAAACAACCACACAUUUACUACACUGAUGCAAGAAGCGAGAGACAAAGUCUUUAAGAACUGAGAUGAGGCUGACUCCCUGCUAAAUUGAACAUCUCUACAUGAGAACUUAGCAAGCAAGAUGUGAAAAGUAUUAAUCCCCGUAUUUGUUAUAGCUGUAAGAAAUUUCUCUAUUAAAUAUGUUUUUUGUUUGUUUGUUUGUUUUGUUUUUGCUAGUGUGUGUUUUCAUUGGGAUCUUGAGGAUGGGAUGCAGAUAUAGCAGAAACUGUCUUUUUCUUUACAGCCAUAUUUCUUCCUGAGUGGAGCUACUUCCUUUUUCAGCUCUGGAGUCAUCCACCUUACUGUUUUGGUGCUCCUACUACGCUGUGAUAACAAAUCGUAGUGGCUUUUGCUCUCAUGCAUGUUUUAACAAUCAGUCACUUAUCCAGGAUAGCUUCUUAAUCUUUUCAAGUACUUCAACAUUUUUAGCAAAGUCUGGUGAAGGGGCUGAAACAGCCAAGAACUGGGUUUCUCUUUUUGAAUCAAAAUGUGGUAUGAAGCAGUGCUAUAGUGACUAUGUUUCCUACCUGGUGAGGAUACCUGCCUCUGUUCACCUUCAGUGUGACAAGGAAAAUGUCAGUCAGAAACUUUUGGUGAAUUCAUUAGGUAAACGUAUUAAUUGAAUGCUUUACUGCUGCAUACCCUUAUUAUUGAACUCUUGGGCAGUGGUCUAUACAUACACAUCCUUUUCCAGUCCUCCACCCUCUACUUUCUUCCUAGUGUUUGGAAGAUUCCUAUACUCCUCACCCCCCCCCACCCCCCCCCCCCUUUGAUUUGAGGAUGUAACUUGCAAUAGAUGCACAAUUUCUUACUUCAGAUUCUUUUGCUCUUUUGUCCAAAAGCAAAGACAAGCUCAGGAAGACAGUUACUCUGCAGAAAGGUUUGCAGAAAAGCUGUAGAUGGGAAACCUUCAGAACAUCUUAUUGUUGCGCUCUAAAAAUAAGAAGCACAACUAAAGUGUCUCUUUAUGUUCUACUAAACCUGAAAGGCUAUUCUUGAUCUACUCAAGUACAUAGACAAGUUUUCUAACGCUGAGUAUCUGAAUCACUUGCUUGGGGCUCCCAGAUAGGACACAGGACUUACAGAGAAACCAAGUCUUUUUGGAGAGGAAAAAUGAGGUCAGGUAUAAUGUCCUAGGCACCUAAAAUAGUGAUGAAUUCUUAGGAAAUUUAAUUCCACUUCCAAACAUGCUGUAAAAUGUAGGCACAAAUUUUAGGGGGAAAGGGUAGGAUAUAUCAAGUAUAACCAACUCUUUCCAAGUUAUAGCAACCCCUCCUUUUUUUUCUUCUCUCUUUUUUUUUUUUUUUGGUUUUGAAGUUAUGAGAAACCAUUACUUGAUAUAUAUAUAUAUAUACAUAUUAAAGGAACAAACUGGAAAUGCUUGCCAUGAUAUUGUGAGAAACAAAGUUGCAUUUUUGCAAUAGAAAAUGUUUUUGCAGUGGAAAAUUUCACUAACCUUGCAUAUUCAAAUGUGAUUUUGCAGGCAUAACAGUGGGGAGUAAGUUAAGCAGAUAAGGGGAAGGUCCUGCUGUCCCACAAUAAGGAGGAUAGCUAAGAAAAAAAAAAGAUGAGCAGUGUGAAAUCAGUAAAAAUAAAAAAUCAUGGACCCUCUAGUCA